RNAcentral lists this ribosomal RNA (532 nucleotides) under uncultured archaeon. Its description in RNAcentral is "bacterial SSU rRNA". It matches the Rfam family "Archaeal small subunit ribosomal RNA", at positions 327 to 859 of the family's 1478-position model. The record is from RNAcentral.
GGGGCGCAGCAGGCGCGAAACCUCCGCAAUGUGAGAAAUCGCGACGGGGGGAUCCCAAGUGCCAUUCUUAACGGGAUGGCUUUUCUUAAGUGUAAAAAGCUUUUGGAAUAAGAGCUGGGCAAGACCGGUGCCAGCCGCCGCGGUAACACCGGCAGCUCUAGUGGUAGCUGUUUUUAUUGGGCCUAAAGCGUUCGUAGCCGGUUUGAUAAGUCACUGGUGAAAUCCUGUAGCUUAACUGUGGGAAUUGCUGGUGAUACUGUUGAACUUGAGGUCGGGAGAGGUUAGCGGUACUCCCAGGGUAGAGGUGAAAUUCUGUAAUCCUGGGAGGACCACCUGUGGCGAAGGCGGCUAACUGGAACGAACCUGACGGUGAGGGACGAAAGCUAGGGGCGCGAACCGGAUUAGAUACCCGGGUAGUCCUAGCCGUAAACGAUGCGGACUUGGUGUUGGGAUGGCUUUGAGCCGCUCCGGUGCCGAAGGGAAGCUGUUAAGUCCGCCGCCUGGGAAGUACGGUCGCAAGACUGAAACUUAA